Molecule: ribosomal RNA, 328 nt
Filed under: uncultured eukaryote
Lineage: Eukaryota
Description: partial 18S ribosomal RNA
Rfam family: Eukaryotic small subunit ribosomal RNA
Source: RNAcentral
CCCUUAGAUGUCCUGGGCCGCACGCGCGCUACACUGAUGCAUGCAACGAGUUUAUAACCUUGGCCUGAAAGGUCUGGGUAAUCUUUUGAACGUGCAUCGUGAUAGGGAUAGAUUAUUGCAAUUGUUAAUCUUGAACGAGGAAUUCCUAGUAAACGCGAGUCAUCAGCUCGCAUUGAUUACGUCCCUGCCCUUUGUACACACCGCCCGUCGCACCUACCGAUUGAAUGGUUCGGUGAAGAUCUCGGACUUCGAUAUUUAUUCCUUAUUGAGUUUAUAUUGUGGGAAGUUAUCUAAACCUCAUCAUUUAGAGGAAGGUGAAGUCGUAACA